GUAUUUAUUAACUUUUUUUGCUGCAGCAAUUGUUUCCUAACCCCCUUUUUUUGUUAAGGUUAUCUCUCUUUUCUUAUCUUAAAAUAACAUGUAGCCUAUGUUUUUAAGUUUUCUUUUACUGAUUAUGCUUAUGUAUGAUGUUGACUGUUUUGUAAUCCUGCUUUGGGUUCCGGGGAAUGGUUGAGUUUUGUAUAUUUGUGUAUGUACAUGUUUUGUACAGUUGUUUUGUUUAUCUUGUUGUAAUCUUUUUUUCGUGUGUGUGUGUUUUAGAACCACCUUGAAAGUUAUAACUAAAUUAUGUAAGCGCUCAUAUGCUGUCGACCAAUCAGACAACAGGGCGGGAAAAGGUUCAAGGUCAAGGCGCGAAAAAAAGGCUCAAACUCCUAGGAGCAGAUAUAGGAGUGGGGAAAAACACGGGGAAAGUUAUCAUUUUGUGCCGAAGAAUAUUUCAGUAUUUUGGACAAUGGAGAGAUGUCACUGAGUCAGCUCAUGGACAAGAGCUUCAUGUUUCCGUAGCUGAGACAGCACUCCCCUCAGAUCUUUGGCAAUGUCAUCAGGAAUGCUUUUGUGCCUCUCCUGGUACAAGAUACGUGACAUAUUCUGUGUUUCUCGGAUGAAGCGGCUCUCAGGAUGAUUACUUUUGAUGAGUUUGUCAGCCAGCUCUUCACAGGUGUGCAUCCUCUCCAGUCCCACCUCCAGCUGCUUUAAGAAUACCUCAAAUCUCCCACACAGUUGCUGUCAUGAAACAAGAGGGCUUCUAUGUCCCUCUCAGCUUGGGCCUGUCUGUGUUCCUCAGCCUUCAGGGCUGAUGGUGAGCUCCCCACAUCAGGUGUGUCAAGCUGGACUAACUUAUCCUGGAGCUGAGCCUGGACUUCUUGGCAAGUCUGCAGGAACGAUUUCACAUCAGCAGAGCUAAGCAACUCAUGAGCCAUCUCAUCCUUUAGUUUCUGAAUGUGUUCCCAUCUGGACAUGCAAAGAAACAAUUUAAGUACACAAAAGCAUGGUUGGAUGGCUGCGCAAUGCUAAUUUUGGCCUUCAUACCUGCGGGUUACGAUUCCAAGCCUAAGCUGAACCUCUUUUUUCUGACUGAGCUGUUUUUUCACAAGCUCCUCUCCAAGCUUGGUAAUAUCAUCAAGCUGCUUUCUACCACUGGCUAGUUCAGUGAGAAAAUUCUGUGUAUAAUAUUGAGAAAGAAGUUAAUGUUUUUAAAUCAAAAUACCACCAUGUUAUCCAAAGAACACAAGUAAAUCUAAUUGAGUUACUUCUCCAAGCAACUUUAAGGCUUUGAAUGUUGUAAAGAAUUCAUGAUGACUUGUGUUAUUCUGCUAGGCAUGUGUUUUCAGGGUGAACUGACCUCAUACUUGGCUUGUACAACCUCUAAGUUGUUGGAGUUGGAGUUAAAAGUGUUGAGGACAUUUUCCUUGUCUCUCAUCCAGGACUCAAAUUCCUCACAGGCAUUACAGAACCUAUGUAGUCGAGCAGUGUCAUCCAGUGCCUUAUUUUUUGACUGAUUGGAGAAAAUGCUAUUUAAAUGCCUGAACAUUUUUUUAACCAUCAAAAAUGGUAAAAGAGUAAAGGUAAAACAUGAAUAUUCACCUGUGCUAAAUUAUAAAGGCUGUUGAAAUCC
This is a long non-coding RNA of Carassius gibelio (silver crucian carp), 1627 nucleotides long. RefSeq lists it as uncharacterized. The transcript is spliced from 4 exons. Lineage: Eukaryota; Metazoa; Chordata; Actinopteri; Cypriniformes; Cyprinidae. The record is from RefSeq and is a predicted model, not a curated record.